Molecule: RNA transcript, 3162 nt
Organism: Humulus lupulus (European hop)
Lineage: Eukaryota; Viridiplantae; Streptophyta; Magnoliopsida; Rosales; Cannabaceae
Exons: 3
Source: RefSeq, a predicted model, not a curated record
UAUCCCAGGGGUAUCGAUCACAUGAUAACAUGUUUUUUUGCGUAGGUUUUUAUCCUAUGGGUAUUGAUCAUAUGAUAACAUGUUUAGGAAUGUGACGUAUAGGACAAGAUAAUUUAUGGGUAACUUUUCUGGGUAGCUUUUCGGAAUGCCUGUUUGGAGAGGGGAAGGCGAUAGGUUUCUGGGGUGCAAAACCGGGUAGCUUAGGGGUCACGCUUCCCAGGCGGUUUUGCUUUUUGAAACUUUCCCUCCAAGGCAAGCAUUAUCCUGACCCUCCUGACACACAAAUCCCGAGCAAUCGGGGAUCCGUUGGGAACAUAGGCGCGUGAUCACAGCAUCGCGUGGCCUCACGCACCGCGGGCUGAGAUUACCUCAGCCCGUGUACGAAAAUCAUUUCACGCGCUAGAUUCCCUUUUCUAUUUUUAGGUCGCCUAUCUAAACUUUCUUCAUCUUUGUUCGCUAGGCGACCAGAUGGGGCCCAGGAAGAGCAUGCCCAAACAGAGCGCUGCCAGCUCGUCAUCCCAGCAGGCCAGCAAGGGGAAAGAGAUAGUUGCUGAAUCCCCAAUCCCCCACUUUGGUCCCACCGUGGAGAAAGAGGUCGAGGUGGGACCUGACGCCUUCUUCGAGGCAGAGAGGAUAGUCUCGAAGGUUACGACUCAAGGGAAGGUCAACAAGAUCUUGCUGUCCCAUAACAUCAAAAUUGGGAAAGGCGCUCUUGUUGCCCUACCUCCCUUCGAGGGCGAGAGGAGCUGCAUGCCCCUCGACAAGGAGUUCGUAGCCUGGAGCGACGAAAACCUCAAGGCCGGGGCCUUCCUUCCUUUGGACCAGUACUUCGCGGACUUUCUGAACUACGUGAGGCUGGCUCCUUUCCAACUGCCCCCUAACUCCUACCGUCUGCUGGCGGGGCUGAGGUACCUCUUCCUGAAGCAUGAAUGGGAGGUCCCUACACUAGCGGACAUCCUUUAUUUUUUCUGCCUCAAAGCUAGCCCGGAUCAACGAGGGCGAGGCGACGGGUUCUACUACCUGACCCACUUUCCCAACUCUGCUGUAGUCAUCGAGCUGCCCAGCCACCCCAACGACUUCAAGGACCAGUUCUUUAUGUCGACGGGGUUUCGCAACUACAAUCACCACUACUUCAAUCGUCCUCGUAAGUUCUUUAUAUCCUCAGCUCACAAAAUCGUCACUGAUUUGUUUCUUUCCAUGUGUAUUGACUUGAAUACCAUCGUGCAGCCAUUUUUGCGAGGACGUCCAAAUUGGUGACCCUCGGGGGUCAAUAUGAGACCUUGGUGGGGCUCCCACCAAGCGAAAAAGACUACCGCCAGCUCGUGUCUGAUGAGACGAUGCUGGUGUGUAAGUUAAUUUCUCCAGGCCAGACCCUGCCCUUGAGGAGGUCACGGGCCAUCCCAGUAGCUCGCGAGUUGGCACCCAUUCCCGAGGGGGGUGCUGCGGUGAAUGACGAGAAGGACGAGGAAGACGAGGUGCCGCUCGUGCACCGGAAGCGGCCCCUCGAGGUUGUUCAGGAUCCUGACGCAGAUCGGAUCCAAUCCAAGGCAGCAACUGGCCCCUUCGGCCAAGGUAACCCAUACCUGUUUAGGGACUUAAACAGGGCUGCCGUAGACCUUUGGCUCACUAGGUUUAACCCAAGCCAGCUCGUACAUCGUCACCAAGAUGACCCAGACCUUAACAUAACCCUACUCCAGUGUGUAGAUCAAUUGGUGCUACCCUAUGACACGAGCCGCCCUAGGGGCACUGUAGCAGUAGACAACACCCUGACUUUUAGGUCAGCCUUUUUUGAGGAGUACGGGACCAACCUUAGGUCGUGGCCCUCCCAUCUGGAGGGUGUAGUCGCUCCGGGGCUUAGGCAGUAUGUAGAGGAGUCCAGUCAUGAGGCUGAUCCGGACCCCGAGCCCCCUCUCAUUUGCGAAGUUAUAAACCUAGCGUCUCCCAUAGAAGCUCUGCAGUCGGAGGUCGUGGCAAUAGAUUCCUCCUCCAGCUCAGAGGGUGAAGAGAUGGCACAGCCGGAGACAACAUCCUGCGGUCCAUCUUCCAGGGGGGGAAUCCUCCCUCCAGAUCAUCCGAGCCACUGGUCAAGAAGCCCCGGUUUACCAAGAAGACUCCUCCCGGGCCUGUCUCCAAGUCUCCCGCUAAGGGGAGGAGCCAGGGCCCUGCAAUAGUGGAGAACAUGCCUCCACCUCCUCCGCGACCUCCUGUCCCUGCUCAGGGUCAGGAGGCACCAACUGGAACCCCGCCAGCUCCCACUCCCACCGUGCGUAUACCGGUUAACACUCAGGCUCUGGAGAAACUCCCCGAGGCCUUCCGAGGAACGGUCUACGAGACCGCGAGCUGUACGGUGGAGCAUUACUACAACGCCACCCCGAGGGACUUGCGGGAGAUCGAGACGAGGAGCCCCGAGAAUGUCAUGGAGUCUUCGCUGGGGAUGAACAUCACGGCGACUUUGGCUCUACACCGCAGCAUAGCUCAGUCCAGGGCUAGGUUUGACGAGAUCAAGGGCGAGUUCCAGACUGCUCAGGCCGCUCUCACGUCUGCACUACAGCAAGAGCGAGAUGCCAAGGCUGCCCUGACGACUGUCAAGGAAAGCGAAAAGGUCGCACAGGUCGCACUGGCCGCUGCAAAGGCCGAUCUGGAAGCCGCAUAGGGCGCCUUGGCCACGGAGAAAACUGAUCUUGAGGCUGCACAGGCUGUCUUGGCCGCUGCGAAGGCCGAGCUUGAGGAAGCCAAGGCCACCCUUGUUGCAGAGAGGGCAUCUUCCAGCUCCUGCAUGGAAUCCAUGCUCUAUCAUUGCUGGGCCUUCAACCAGGAUGGCGAUUUCUCCUUCCUGGCGCCAGAGGUGUGGGAGCCCUUCCUCGAGAAGUUCAAGGCUCGUCUUCAACAGGAGGCACCCUCUGAGAUCGGGGAGACUUCCGCUGCAGGCGAGCAGGAGACCGAAGGGGUGACCUCAAUGGAACGGGCUGGGGGGGCCUAGAAUUUUUAUUUUUAUUUAUUUGUAAUCUUUUACCACGAGGUUUUUCUCCUCGAGACAAUUGGUUUUCCUGAGUUUCAUUUUAAUCUAUUUUUACCAUUAUUGUUAUUUACUUUUAGCGCAUUUGGUAAAAACUUAGUUUGUGUUAAUUUAUUAUUGAUAUUUCGUGCUUUUUUAGAAAAACA